This 1586-nucleotide long non-coding RNA is filed under the name Marmota monax (woodchuck). The record is from RNAcentral. Lineage: Eukaryota; Metazoa; Chordata; Mammalia; Rodentia; Sciuridae.
GGGAAGCCGGUGGUGGCAGUUGGGGCUCUGAGGGUUUUUCCUGAGGAGCUGUUUUGUUUGGCUUGUGUGGUUCUAAAAAUAAAGUUAGUUUCUUUUGACAAGUCGCUCCUGAUUGUGCCCAGCCAGACUGCGGCAAACAGCAACUAAUUAUCAUUGCCUAGAAGAUUUUCUUUCUUUAUUAUUGACCAACCCUUCAAUUUAACCAUCAAGCUAUAUACCCCCUCAGACCUGCCUUCUCCUUUUUAUGGCUUUAACUGAGGAGAAAAUGGUUACCUGGUUCUAAGCGCAUUUCACAGAUAUCAUCUCCCUGGAAAAUAACCAGAAGGAUCUGUUAAUUUUCAGCACAUAUGAUUGGAGUUUUUCUAAAGUCUCCUUAUGAUAGAUAUUGUUAGUUGUGUCUAUUCAACUGCCAUCUCCCCAACCCACCUGCCCACACAUUUUUAUAUGCUCAUGGAGCUCACCUCCCAUUUUAGAGGUUGACCAGUUACUUACUCCUUUGAAGCCUGGAUAGUUUUUUAAUAUUUAUUUUUUAGUUUUCGGCGGACACAACAUCUUUGUUUUUUGUAUGUGGUGCUGAGGAUCGAACCUGGACCGCACGCAUGCGAGGCGAGCACGCUACUGCUUGAGCCACAUCCCCAGCCCCUGAAGCCUGGAUAGUUUUGAGGAAGCUUUUUCUCUUAAUGAAGAUACUGUCAUCUUGUGUCUUUAGACGAUAUGUGAAGGUGCUGACUGUGCAGAGGCCAUCUUCACCAUCUGGUGCAGACUUGAGGAUUAAAACCAACGUGCCCAGGAUGGGUUGGAAAUAUGGAAGGAAGCUGGGUCCUUAGUAGGUCACUGAACCUCAGAGUUAUUAAGGAGGAAAAUUGGGAUUUCUAGAUCUGAAUUUCUUCCCUUGCAAACAAACAGUUCCCAAGUUUCAAACUGAAUGUAUGGGAGUGUUAGAGCCAAACACGCAAAUGCCCUACCUCCAGACUUCCUCUAAGAGAUUGUGAGUUUAGUCCACUUUUAUUUGUUUGUGGCUACAAACAACCUAAAAGACACAGCAAAUAUGUUCAAAUAAAUUUAUUUUAUAUUUCUGCUUACUAUUUAAAACUCUGAUAUGGGGGAGGGGGAGAAGCUUGUGAACCUUGGCCUUGAGUUUCCCCUAAAAUUGAGCUCUUAAAUACUCUAAUAAAGUGCUUAUUCAGAUAGCACGAGUCAUGGAAAUAUCAAAAUUAACUUAUGAUGCCAUAUUUUAAAAUCAGCUUUUGAUAGGAUAUAAGUUUAAAAAGCACACAGCAAUUUAAAAGUAGAGAUGGAGGCUUAGAAACUUCUGUAUUGCUGCUAGGAAUUAGAAUUAAAAUAUUUUCCAAGGCUUAUUCUCAAAGCACAUAACUGAGAGCUGACUUUGAGUGUUGGCAAUAAAGGGAAACAUCUCCUAUUACAUUACACUGGACAUAACUUUCUUAUUAAGUAGGAGAAUUGGAAUUUCUGAAUAUCUUCCUUUGCAGCAAAACAGCUCCCAAGUUUCAAAUUGAAUCAGAAGACUAACAAGCAGAGGAAUGAGGACUGAACUUUAAAAAUACGGUAUGUUUUGAAAUCUAUGA